GACGAACGCUGGCGGCGUGCUUAACACGUGCAAGUCGAACGGUGAAGCUCCAGCUUGCUGGAGUGGAUCAGUGGCGAACGGGUGAGUAACACGUGAGCAACCUGCCCCUGACUCUGGAAUAAGCGCUGGAAACGGCGUCUAAUACUGGAUACGAGAAGGGUCCGCAUGGGCACUUUCUGGAAAGUUUUUCGGUUGGGGAUGGGCUCGCGGCCUAUCAGCUUGUUGGUGAGGUAAUGGCUCACCAAGGCGACGACGGGUAGCCGGCCUGAGAGGGCGAGCGGCCACACUGGGACUGAGACACGGCCCAGACUCCUACGGGAGGCAGCAGUGGGGAAUAUUGCACAAUGGGCGAAAGCCUGAUGCAGCGACGCCGCGUGAGGGAUGACGGCCUUCGGGUUGUAAACCUCUUUCAGCAGGGAAGAAGCGAAAGUGACGGUACCUGCAGAAGAAGCACCGGCUAACUACGUG
This 468-nucleotide ribosomal RNA is filed under the name uncultured bacterium. RNAcentral's name for it is "partial 16S ribosomal RNA". It matches the Rfam family "Bacterial small subunit ribosomal RNA", at positions 28 to 507 of the family's 1533-position model. The record is from RNAcentral.